This is a long non-coding RNA of Carassius carassius (crucian carp), 1029 nucleotides long. RefSeq lists it as uncharacterized. The record is from RefSeq and is a predicted model, not a curated record. NCBI's taxonomy places the organism in Eukaryota, Metazoa, Chordata, Actinopteri, Cypriniformes, Cyprinidae. The transcript is spliced from 3 exons.
CCCCCAUGAUUCAGCGGUGUGGUUGUCUCCUCGGUACAGAGCAAGGACGCACAAGUCCUGCAUGCCAAGGUGAUGCAUUUUCUGGUGAAAUGAACCAUAGAAACGGAUGAUUACAUUGAAACAGAUCCUCUAUCAAGUAUGCCCAGGGGACUGGUUCUUUUUGUUGGAUCUGAAAGACUUUCACAUCUAGAUAGCCCCUCACCACAGACAAUUUUUGAGUUUCGCCUUUGAGGGAGUGGCAUAUCAAUACAUGGUCCUUCCCUUUGGACUGUCCCUAGCUCCUCGCACUUUUACGAAGUGCAUGGAUGCAGCUCUUUCCCCGCUGAGACAGAUGAGAAUCAGCAUUCUGAAUUACCCCAACAACUGCCUCAUCCUUGCCCCAUUGGAGGACGAGCUACUAUCUCACAGAUACUCCCUCCUCAGCUACUUAGAAUGCCUAGGCCAAGAGUGCUCUGUCCCCCAGCCAAUGGUUAUUCUCGUGGCCUCAUUCAAAGUUGGAGCCCCUUGCUCUCUCAAGGCAUUUCAGAAGAUGCUGGGCUUCAUGGCCUCUGCAUUUCCGGUACUUCAGUUGGGCCUGCUUCGCAUGCCACCCCAUCAGUACUGUCUAGGCCUUUCAGGCCUGGAUCCUUUCUGCAUAAUGGGCUCACUUUUGCUAUAUGGUAAAGCCAGCGCUUCAACCGUUUGCCUUCUUUACUGCAUGCUUUUGGCCCUCACUGAGUUCCGAGGCUGUAUGAAAAUCUCUUGGAAUGUUUACUCAAGGCUGGGCUGAACUCUGUGAGAUUGGCCGUAUUGCCUUCUGUGGGGCUUCCCUGCUAAAUAUUUGGUCAGUCUGGGCCCUGUUUGGUGCUUAAGGCAAGUUCAAGUAUUAGUCGUUCCUCUAUCAUAGCAUGGUGGGAUUGUACUGGUUACCCAUAGCAUCUUAGCAGACACAGUACGAGUGAAGUAUCAGUAGGGAACAUACUCAAUUUCUAAUGUAACAUUGGUUCCCUGAUAUACAGGAAUGAGUACUGCAUUGCUGGCCGUGCUGCA